AGUGGGGAAUAUUGGACAAUGGGCGCAAGCCUGAUCCAGCCAUGCCGCGUGAGUGAUGAAGGCCUUAGGGUUGUAAAGCUCUUUCAGUGGGGAAGAUAAUGACGGUACCCACAGAAGAAGCCCCGGCUAACUUCGUGCCAGCAGCCGCGGUAAUACGAAGGGGGCUAGCGUUGUUCGGAUUUACUGGGCGUAAAGCGCACGUAGGCGGAUCGUUAAGUGAGGGGUGAAAUCCCAGGGCUCAACCCUGGAACUGCCUUUCAUACUGGCAAUCUAGAGUCCGGAAGAGGUGAGUGGAACUCCUAGUGUAGAGGUGGAAUUCGUAGAUAUUAGGAAGAACACCAGUGGCGAAGGCGGCUCACUGGUCCGGUACUGACGCUGAGGUGCGAAAGCGUGGGGAGCAAA
This 402-nucleotide ribosomal RNA is filed under the name uncultured Devosia sp. RNAcentral describes it as "bacterial SSU rRNA". It matches the Rfam family "Bacterial small subunit ribosomal RNA", at positions 353 to 772 of the family's 1533-position model. Lineage: Bacteria; Pseudomonadati; Pseudomonadota; Alphaproteobacteria; Hyphomicrobiales; Devosiaceae. The record is from RNAcentral.